ACGCUGCGUGUCCGGUUGGGAGACCGCGCUAGUCGCGGCGGCGACGGCUGCUCGGCUCGGCCUGCCCCAGCCUCGUCGUCACGUCACGUCACGUCGUUUCGCUUCUCCCGGCCUGUUGCGUCCGUCUUGCCGUGACUACCGCACCGCCGUUCAGUCGCGCUGCCGGCAUCAUCCCGCUCGCAAGCGUACAACACGGGCCUCCCCGGCCCUCGUCCGAAAAGUGGCCGCGCCGCCAGGCGCCGUUUUUCCAGUCUCUCGUUUCGGGUCUCGGCGUUUCCGGCUCGGGCGAGGCGCUUUUUCCACGCACCCGUAGAAACCCCGGCUGCGCUUUUGGUGCGCGAACGCACACACUCGUGACCCUCCGUCGACCGCGCGGCUCUCCGCUGAAACCGGUGAGGACUCGAUGACUGGAAUAUAUAUGAUUACAUGUCUUUUUUUUUAUUGAAGCUACUUUGUUAAAUUAAAGUAGCGUCUCGCUCAGUCUUCUCCGACGGGUCUCUAUUAUGAAGGACUUCUCCGGAAAAGUGCAGGAUCGAGAAUCGAUCGAGUGAUUCCGUUCUCGCGAGACGGAGAGAUUUGCUGCGAUUGGCAAUUUUCGAACCCGAGAUUCAGUUCGGGUUCGCUCGACGAGGAAAUUUUCCGGCGUCGGUUUAACAAUCGACGGCAAGCCGUCUGUGAUCGUCCGGAGAGAGGCUCUCAGAGAGAUCUCAUUUACCAGAUAUUGUCCGUAAGUGAACCCAUGCGGAGUCGAUUGUGCGGUUUGUGGCAGUUUGUGGUUGUGGGGUGAAAUGUAACACACGCAGCAUUCCUCGUCGCAAGAGAGGCAAGAGAAAAAGCGCGAGCGAAAGAAGCUGCGGAUGGUGGAUUCGAGGAAGAAACGUUCGCUGGCGUUCCGGAGAAUUACCCGCCGUGCGCAUCUGUCUCCUGCACAUUCUUCAGUCAUUUCGAGACCGCCGACACGAGACGACAUGACGUUUUCCGUCGCCACGAAGGAAGAGCUCGACGCUCUCGUCCGCACCACGAAGGAAGUUCCUUGGUUUUAGCAGCGGGCGAAGCGAUGGGAUUGGCCGGAGGGAACUCUCCGACGGGACAAAUCGCUGCUACAGCCGAGCUGGUAAUCGCGGCCACCAUGACGAGGAUGAGCGAAGAUCCAGAAACCCCUGAAGAAGAGCGCAAAUGGGAGAGGUGACGUAUCCAGUGAUGCGUAAACGGCGUGGACUGGGUAGCGCCUUUCUGGGCCUCUUCGUGGGUCUACUUCUGGGUUUCCUGGUACUCAGCUACCGUCUGAUCGUUUCCAAUCAGCAACAGCAGGUCGCCAUGUGGACCUCCAUGCCUGGGCUGCGGUCGCCGCCGAGAGCGUCCGCUCGGAACAUGCCGAGGCUGAAGGACGACGAGCGAAUCAACAGCUCGACCUCGAGUCUCGUGUUUGUGGGCGUGAUGACGGCUCAGAAGUACCUGGACACGCGGGCUAAGGCCGUCUACGAGACCUGGGGCAAAGAGCUACCCGGCAAGAUUGCCUUCUUCUCGUCCGAGUCCUCCACCGUGCCCGACAACUGCCCGGAGUUGCCUCUGGUGCCGCUCCCGCGGGUGGACGACACCUACCCGCCACAGAAGAAGUCCUUCAUGAUGCUGCAGUACAUGUGGAGCAACUUUGGCGAUCGCUUCGAGUGGUUCCUUCGGGCGGACGACGACGUAUACGUGAGGACCGACCGGCUGGAGAAGUUGCUGAGGUCCGUCGACUCCAGAAGAGCGAUGUACAUCGGUCAGGCCGGCAGGGGUAACUCGGAAGAGUUCGGAUUGCUGUCGCUGGAUUACGACGAGAACUUUUGCAUGGGUGGCCCGGGGGUGGUGCUAUCCAGGGAGACCCUGAGGAGGAUCGUGCCGCACAUCAAGUACUGCCUGCGUCACUUGUACACCACGCACGAGGACGUCGAAUUGGGCAGAUGCGUAAAGAAGUACGCGGGGAUCCCCUGUACUUGGAGCUACGAGAUGCAGUCCAUUCUCUAUCACAACAGCAGCGGGGCCCAAGCAUUCACCGGAAAUCUCAAGAAGAAGGAGGUUCAUCGUGCCAUUACUUUGCAUCCUGUGAAAAGUCCGCCUCACAUGUACAGGCUGCACAAUUACAUGAGGGGGCUGCAAAUACAAGAGCUGCAGCAGGAGAGGAUCCGCUUGCACCGAGACGUUCACACGAUGGCCCAGGAGCUCGGAGUCAGGCCGGAUACCCUGAAGAAUUACGAGCUAGUGGAGGGUCUGCAUCUUUUUCCGGCCGAUCCCAAUUCCGAGAAUUACCCGGGCGACACGGACGUACUAGGUGUACCGGCGAGUUUAAGUUCGUUCAAGCCGGCGACGAGUGACGAGGUGAUCCCGUGGGGCUUCCUCUCGCGGCUGGAAUACAGCUUGACCGACUCUAAUCCAAGGCGGCGUAUUCAUAGCGACAUUAAAGAGGGCCUGGAAGAUAUCACGAGGGAGGUCAUGGCCUCCAUUAAUUCCUGCUCGCGGCAGCGCGGCCGUGUUGUCGAGGAGCGAUCGGCGCUUUAUGGGUACAGAAGGGUGAACUCUUAUGGGGCUGACACGAUAUUAGAUCUUCUAUUAGUUUACCGGAAGUACCGGGGCAGGAAGGUCACUCUUCCCGUCAGACGACACGUUUAUCUCCAUCAGCACUUCAUUGGACUGGAGAUACGCGAGACGGUAAACGGCGUCGAAGUCGAUCCUCACCAAAGAUCAGACGACACGUCUAUCCACCAUCUGUUCCGCGGUGGUUUCCUGAAUCUCAACUUCAACCAGCAGGAAGAGGACUCAGUGCGAAGCAAGACCAUAAACUUCAUCCUGCCGUUGUCAGGCCGCUAUGAGAUUUUCCAGAGGUUCCUGAAGAACUACGAAGACAUCUGCCUGACCGUCGGCGAGAAGACGUCGCUGCUCGUCGUGCUCUACCAGCGCAAGGAUGAGAACUCCUUCAACAAGACGAUAGAUCUGAUCGAACGGCUCAAGUACAAGUAUCGCAGCGCCAGCAUGGAUGUCCUGUCGAUAUCCGGCGAGUUCUCCAGAGCCAGAGCCUUGGACACGGCCGUGUCGAAAUUGCAGCCCGAUGAUCUGAUGCUGUUCAUCGACGUGGACAUCGUUUUCACGAAUUCAGCGUUGAACAGAAUACGUCUAAACACGCUUCCAGGUCGGAGGAUAUACUUUCCGAUCGUCUUCAGCCAGUACAAUCCCCAAGUGGUAUACAGUGAAACCAGCAGGCAGGACAGAUUCACCAUAAACGAGGUCUCCGGCCAUUGGAGGCAGUACGGCUUCGGGAUCGUUUCUCUUUACAAGAGAGAUUACGUCACCAUCGGCGGGUUGGAUCUCUCGAUUCAGGGAUGGGGGAAGGAGGACGUGGAGUUCUACGAGAAGGCGGUCAAGUCGGGCCUCGACGUCUUUAGAGCCGCGGACAGGCAUCUGGUGCACGUGUAUCACGAGAUCGAGUGCAGCAAAGAGCUGCCGAGUCUUCAAUUCUCCAUGUGCAUGGGAUCCAAAGCUGACACGUACGCCGGCGUCGAGACCUUGUCUGACAUGAUUUACGCUAACCCGAAUAUACUGCACUUCGCCAAAGAGAGGAGACAGAAGAGGACCAAUCCGGCUGGCUGAUGGCAACAAGCUUGCAAUGUGAGAGAUUAUCGGCUGUCGAAAAUAGUUGUUAGAAAAAGAAGAUUCUAGUUGACAGUGAAAAACGACAUGAACUGCAUGAAGUUGCAGUGGAGAGAGAGAGAGAGAGAGAGAGAGAGAGAGAGAGAGGGGGGGAGAGAGAGAGAGAGAGAGAGAGAGAGAGAGAGAGAGAGAGAGAGAGAGAGAUGCGAUGGGGACGCGUGUCCCUUCGAGGUAGAGGCGUCCUUUUCGUCAGCGGUUCAGUCUUGGCGGGCAAUACCGACGAGCGGACCGUCCGAACUAAACCUCGGUGCCAGAUUGUUAGUUAGGUGUUGUAAAUAUGGAAUGUUAUUUCAUUCGAGUCUCAAGUAAGCUUUGAAAGAUUGGAAGGAUUUCACGCGCUCCGCUGUAAGACGAGAAACGUAUGUAUCGGCCGCAGCUUCGACGGAGAGACUAUAAUUCUCACAAGGUUUUUUAUCGUGAAAUGCGAUAAUCAAGAUAUUGAUGUAGGCGCAUGUGUCUUUUUUUAUUCCCGAAUUUAUUUACAAUGUAGGAUACACUGAUCUGGUAAUAGAGCGGAUCCUGCUAUACUGAAACUGCAUUAAUCAGCGAUGACUGCCGUAGCGAGAAGUUUAAUCACACUUCGGGAAUAACGAAAGACGCGUCGCCGACUAUCGACAAUCGAAAUCAAGUGUAAUGGCCUGUAUUUUAUAAGAUCGUUAGCGUCUGAAGUAAGUCUUAAUGCCGUAACGCUAAGUUUAAAUGUGAUAUUAUCGUGCCUUUGAUGAAACUUUAUUCCGCAAUCUUUCGUUUCGUACUGCCGAUCUCGUAACGCAUAAAAGCGCGUUACGGCUAUCCCGAUAUAUGUAGAUGUAAAUACUCUCGAAUUGUCUCUCUUGUUUCGCGCUUUUGUAUCCCCCUCGUGAUAACGUUCGAAAUACGCUGAGAUGCAGUCAAUCGAUGCAUCGAUCUCGUUCUCGGGAAAUUCGCCGGCGACUAGAACUUCUGAGAAACUCCGUAAUCAGAGAGGUGCAGAGGAGAGGUCAAACUUCGAUGAAAAAUAACAUUGAUGUUGCGAGGAAACGGAGUUGAAAAAGAACCGAUUGUUAGUCCACGCGAAUCGUGUUGCUAGCGAUAGCUUAUCAUCGAGCUUCUCAGCGACGUUCGGGGAAAAUAAAAACCAAAAGAGAAAUGUAACAGUUAGAGACGCAAUAAAUAACGAUAAUUUAUAGUUAUAUACUUGUGAUGUGUUUGGCAAUAAACGAGAACACAGAGAAUACUGUUUGCAAGAGAGCGCGAUUUUUCCUCAAGACGGCGCACGUCUACGAUGUGCACCUCAGAGUGCAAUUAUCGGUAAUAAAUGUUGUAUUGUUGCGUCAUCACGCAUGCAAGAGAUACGUUAUCGCUGUAAUGUUUAGACGUUAUAGUCGAUUAAUAUGCCUUUGAUUAUUCCGCAUGCAGUGAAUAUAUUUGCGACCGCAGUAACGGCCUGCGUCCUCCCGAAACCUCGCACCAAGAAAAGAAGAGAGCAGACACUGAAGAAUUUCCAUUUAUAUCGCUUGAUAAUGCGCUGCCUAACGACAACUGGCGUCUCAACGUGGCGAAGCUGUCGACAGUUGUCUUGCAUAUUAUUACGAUGAUGGUAGAUAAUAGCGUAUCACUCAAGCUCAAGGCCAUUCGCGAUCGUUCGCCGCGUUAACGGCAGACGGCGCAUUUAUAAGACCAGGUUGCGUCUCGUUUCCGCAUGAGUCUUCAACGCGUGUAAGUGCAAUCGUUAUCAGCAGUCCGCAUCAAAUUGCGCCUUAGAGAAAACCGCGAGAUUGUCGACUUAGCCUAGUAUCGAACGUAGAAGAAUACACCUUCCCGAGGAAAAUUCUUCAACAAGGAGACCUAGAAGGAAGAAGAGCUUCCUGAACAACCAGCAGUGGCUA
This 5552-nucleotide unclassified non-coding RNA is filed under the name Harpegnathos saltator (Jerdon's jumping ant). RNAcentral describes it as "chondroitin sulfate synthase 1, transcript variant X5". Lineage: Eukaryota; Metazoa; Arthropoda; Insecta; Hymenoptera; Formicidae. The record is from RNAcentral.